RNAcentral lists this ribosomal RNA (253 nucleotides) under uncultured bacterium. Its description in RNAcentral is "partial 16S ribosomal RNA". It matches the Rfam family "Bacterial small subunit ribosomal RNA", at positions 524 to 776 of the family's 1533-position model. The record is from RNAcentral.
UACGGAGGGGGCUAGCGUUGUUCGGAAUUACUGGGCGUAAAGCGCACGUAGGCGGCUUUGUAAGUUAGAGGUGAAAGCCCGGGGCUCAACUCCGGAAUUGCCUUUAAGACUGCAUCGCUUGAAUCAUGGAGAGGUGAGUGGAAUUCCGAGUGUAGAGGUGAAAUUCGUAGAUAUUCGGAAGAACACCAGUGGCGAAGGCGACUCACUGGACAUGUAUUGACGCUGAGGUGCGAAAGCGUGGGGAGCAAACAGG